AGGAAUAUUGGUCAAUGGGCGCAGGCCUGAACCAGCCAAGUAGCGUGAAGGAUGACUGCCCUAUGGGUUGUAAACUUCUUUUAUAAAGGAAUAAAGUCGGGUAUGUAUACCCGUUUGCAUGUACUUUAUGAAUAAGGAUCGGCUAACUCCGUGCCAGCAGCCGCGGUAAUACGGAGGAUCCGAGCGUUAUCCGGAUUUAUUGGGUUUAAAGGGAGCGUAGAUGGAUGUUUAAGUCAGUUGUGAAAGUUUGCGGCUCAACCGUAAAAUUGCAGUUGAUACUGGCAGUCUUGAGUGCAGUAGAGGUGGGCGGAAUUCGUGGUGUAGCGGUGAAAUGCUUAGAUAUCACGAAGAACUCCGAUUGCGAAGGCAGCUCACUGGAGUGUAACUGACGCUGAUGCUCGAAAGUGUGGGUAUCAAACAGGAUUAGAUACCCUGGUAGUCCACACAGUAAACGAUGAAUACUCGCUGUUUGCGAUAUACAGUAAGCGGCCAAGCGAAAGCAUUAAGUAUUCCACCUGGGGAGUACGCCGGCAACGGUGAAACUCAAAGGAAUUGACGGGGGCCCGCACAAGCGGAGGAACAUGUGGUUUAAUUCGAUGAUACGCGAGGAACCUUACCCGGGCUUAAAUUGCAAAUGAAUUAUGGGGAAACCCAUACGCCGCAAGGCAUUUGUGAAGGUGCUGCAUGGUUGUCGUCAGCUCGUGCCGUGAGGUGUCGGCUUAAGUGCCAUAACGAGCGCAACCCUUAUCUUCAGUUACUAACAGGUCAUGCUGAGGACUCUGGAGAGACUGCCGUCGUAAGAUGUGAGGAAGGUGGGGAUGACGUCAAAUCAGCACGGCCCUUACGUCCGGGGCUACACACGUGUUACAAUGGGGGGUACAGAAGGCCGCUACCUGGUGACAGGAUGCCAAUCCCAAAAACCUCUCUCAGUUCGGAUCGAAGUCUGCAACCCGACUUCGUGAAGCUGGAUUCGCUAGUAAUCGCGCAUCAGCCAUGGCGCGGUGAAUACGUUCCCG
This 1016-nucleotide ribosomal RNA is filed under the name uncultured bacterium. Its description in RNAcentral is "bacterial SSU rRNA". It matches the Rfam family "Bacterial small subunit ribosomal RNA", at positions 357 to 1376 of the family's 1533-position model. The record is from RNAcentral.